Molecule: long non-coding RNA, 1373 nt
Filed under: Numida meleagris (helmeted guineafowl)
Lineage: Eukaryota; Metazoa; Chordata; Aves; Galliformes; Numididae
Description: lncRNA (ENSNMEG00000002269.1)
Source: RNAcentral
UUUUUGGGGUACAACCAUAGGAAGUGUGAUCCCCAGACCCUUUUUGGGGUACAACCGUGGGAAAUGGGGUCCCCAGAGCCAUUUUUGGGGUAGAACCAAGAGAAAAGGGGGGGGUUCCCUGCUCCAAUUUGGAGCGUGUCACCAUGCAGACACCGCCAUGUUGUCACCGCCACAUUGUCACCACCACAUUGUCACCAUAGACACUGCCACGUUGUCACUGCCACAUUGUCACCAUAGACACUGCCACAUUGUCACCCCACAGACACCUCCAUGUUGUCACCGCCACGUUGUCACCACGUUAUCACCAGACACCGCCAUGUUGUCACCACCACACUGUCACCAUGCCGACACCGCCACGUUGUCACCAGACACUGCCGUGUUGCCACCAUACGGACACCGCCACGUUGUCACCACCACGUUGUCACCAUACAGACACCGCCAUCUUGUCACCACCAUGCUGUCACCAUACAGACACUGCCAUGUUGUCACCCCAGACGCCACCAUCUUGUCACCGCCACGUUGUCACCACCACGCUGUCACCACCACAUUGUCACCAUACAGACACCACCACAUUGUCACCGCCAUGUUGUCACUGCCACGUUAUCACCACCACGCCGUCACCAUACAGACACCACCACGUUGUCACCACGCUGUCACCAGACACCGCCAUGUUGUCACCGUGCCACGUUGUCACCAUACAGACACCGCCACAUUGUCACCACCAUGUUGACACCAGACACCACCACACUGUCACCGCCACCUUGUCACCAUACAGACACCACCAUGUUGUCACCGCCACGUUGUCACCAUACAGACACCACCAUGUUGUCACCACCACCUUGUCACCAUACAGACACCACCACGUUGUCACCGCCACCUUGUCACCAUACAGACACUGCCAUCUUGUCACCGCCAUCUUGUCACCGCCACAUUGUAACCAUACAGACACCGCCACGUUGUCACCGCCACAUUGUCACCAUACAGACACCACCACGUUGUCACUGCCACAUUGUCACCAUACAGACACCGCCAUCUUGUCACCACCAUUGUCACCAUACAGACACCACCACGUUGUCACCGCCACCUUGUCACCAUACAGACACCGCCAGGUUGUCACCGCCAUGUUGUCACUGCCACAUUGUCACCAUACAGACACCGCCAUCUUGUCACCGCCAUGUUGUCACCGCCAUCUUGUCACUCCCGUUUCAGGGCCGGGGGCCGUUGGCAGCGCCGCCAGCGGCGGUAGUUGAGGAAGAGGAGCGCGGCGUUGACCGCGUAGGUGCUGAGGCAGACGAGGCAGAGGUCGCGGAGGCCGAAGGCCAACACCAGCGCCAGGUACAGCGAGGCCACCACCGACGUCACCGACGUCACCA